RNAcentral lists this ribosomal RNA (465 nucleotides) under Vreelandella stevensii. RNAcentral describes it as "partial 16S ribosomal RNA". It matches the Rfam family "Bacterial small subunit ribosomal RNA", at positions 338 to 795 of the family's 1533-position model. Lineage: Bacteria; Pseudomonadati; Pseudomonadota; Gammaproteobacteria; Oceanospirillales; Halomonadaceae. The record is from RNAcentral.
CCUACGGGAGGCAGCAGUGGGGAAUAUUGGACAAUGGGGGCAACCCUGAUCCAGCCAUGCCGCGUGUGUGAAGAAGGCCCUCGGGUUGUAAAGCACUUUCAGUGAGGAAGAACGCCUGGUGGUUAAUACCCAUCAGGAAAGACAUCACUCACAGAAGAAGCACCGGCUAACUCCGUGCCAGCAGCCGCGGUAAUACGGAGGGUGCGAGCGUUAAUCGGAAUUACUGGGCGUAAAGCGCGCGUAGGUGGCUUGAUAAGCCGGUUGUGAAAGCCCCGGGCUCAACCUGGGAACGGCAUCCGGAACUGUCAAGCUAGAGUGCAGGAGAGGAAGGUAGAAUUCCCGGUGUAGCGGUGAAAUGCGUAGAGAUCGGGAGGAAUACCAGUGGCGAAGGCGGCCUUCUGGACUGACACUGACACUGAGGUGCGAAAGCGUGGGUAGCAAACAGGAUUAGAUAUCCCGGUAGUC